CCUACGGGGUGCUGCAGUGGGGAAUAUUGGGCAAUGGGCGCAAGCCUGACCCAGCAACGCCGCGUGAAGGAAGAAGGCUUUCGGGUUGUAAACUUCUUUUCUCAGGGACGAAGCAAGUGACGGUACCUGAGGAAUACGCCACGGCUAACUACGUGCCAGCAGCCGCGGUAAUACGUAGGUGGCAAGCGUUAUCCGGAUUUACUGGGUGUAAAGGGCGUGUAGGCGGGGACGCAAGUCAGAUGUGACAACCACGGGCUCAACCUGUGGCCUGCAUUUGAAACUGUGUUUCUGGAGUACUGGAGAGGCAGACGGAAUUCCUAGUGUAGCGGUGAAAUGCGUAGAUAUACGGAGGAACACCAGUGGCGAAGGCGGAUUGCUGGACAGUAACUGACGCUGAGGCGCGAAAGCGUGGGGAGCAAACAGGAUUAGAUACCCCUGUAGUC
Molecule: ribosomal RNA, 443 nt
Filed under: uncultured bacterium
Lineage: Bacteria
Description: partial 16S ribosomal RNA
Rfam family: Bacterial small subunit ribosomal RNA
Source: RNAcentral